Biomphalaria pfeifferi is the source of this 281-nucleotide non-coding RNA. The record is from the annotation of a GenBank genome assembly. NCBI's taxonomy places the organism in Eukaryota, Metazoa, Mollusca, Gastropoda, Planorbidae.
UACUAGGAUUUUUUUUUUUUUUUUAAGUUGAUAGUUUUAUAACAGAGCCCUGUAAUUCUACCAUAAGAAGUGAAUGUGAAAUUUCUUUUAUUGCUCUGAGAUGUACAUGUGUGUGUGUGUGAAAUAAUUGUGUGUGUGUUGUUGCUAAUAAUUAUUAGCUGCAUUUUGAUCUAAAACUAUGAAGCUUGAUUAAAAUCUUGCAUUAUUGAAAUAUAUGGGAUCCAAUUAUUUAUCUUUAGUUCAAUUCAUAUUUUACCAUAGACAUAAAUAAAUAUAGACUG